GCGUCCGCAGUGCCUCGAGGAACCGCAUUGAUGCACGAGAGCAUAAAUAUCGACAUCGAAAUGGUACAGUCCGAAUACAAUUAUGAUAAUAAACAUUGGUCUUCUGCUAGCUGCUGCAGUGUUGACCGGCCGGUGUGUUAAAAUUUUCCUUCUGGAGUUGAGCGAAGAUUAUACGAUUCAGGAACGUCGAUCGUGCCAAAAUAAUUCGUAGUCAGCCAUGUCGGCAGCUCAUCAGUGCCCUGUGUAUUAAAUCAGCUGCAGCAUCGUGGCACCGAUCUAUCUGUCCUCAAUUUGUAAACACGGAGCAAGGAUUUUCGGUGCUUUUGGGAAGAGUCAUGUCUUCGAUUUCCGGGUCAAGGCGUGGCAGUACUGUGAGUGAACAUUCGCGGGCUCGAUCAGUUCACAUAGGGAGGACAUCCAACUCAAAGUGGCUGAUUCGCACAGUUGCCGAGUUUUGCCAGCAGAUUGCCGUCAUCUAUGAGCACUUUGCCAUCAACCUGCAGUCACUGGUGGAAUCCUUCAAGGAGCAGACGCUCAGCAAAGAUGGGAUGUGUGGCUAUCGUUGGUUUGAAUCCGCUUGGGAGGACCUUCUAGAACAGUAUGCUGUCGUCUCGUCGGAUUACUUUGAUCUGGCCCACAACCUUGAGUGCGGCGUCACCAACUCACUACAGGAGGCCGCUGUUCACAAGCACGCCUUCCUGGACGACGUCGUCCAUCACCGCGACAGCCUACGGCAAGAGAUGAAAUCCAAGGACUCCAAUCUGCUGAAGACAGAGAAGGAGUACGCUGAAGCUUGGAAGAAGAUGGCUCAGGAUGGCAACGGAAACAUUAAGAGUCCCAACACAGCGUUAUGUUACAACAAGCACAAUGGUUAUGUGCUAGAAUUGGCCGGUCUCAACAAGUUCAACGAGAGCGUACAUGCCACAGUCUUGCCAUCAUUAAGCAGGGAAAUUGAGCGAGUCCACAGCGAGAUUGCCGAUCUUGUCAUCCAGGGGCUCAUCAAACAUGCGCAGCUGACGAAGUCAAAGCUUAGUGUGCACGGUAAUCACAUGGAUGCAGUGGUCCGUGCACUGCAAGACAUUGAGGUGUCAGGCGAAUCCGUGCAUUCACCAUCCGAGAAGGAACCGAGGCGUUACAGUUUUGUCAAACCGGAUCACAGUGCAUCUAGGGACUUUGUUGAGACCAAGCUAGUGAUGAAUUUAGCCACAGGGAGGGUGCUGCGUGACAAACAUGAGACUCUGGUCAGGGAGGUGAAUGAUUUGGAGAGAAGAAUAAACACGGAAAAGGAAAUCUUGAUGAAACUGACUAAGCAGCAUGACAAUAUCAGAGCUAACCAGCAGCAUGCCAAGGCAGCCGAGUUUCUGAAAAAGAUUGCCAACCACAAGUACGACUUGCAACGAAGUGAAGUGUUUCUGGAAAGCAAACGAGCACAGCUACAACUAUUUACUCGGGACAUUUUGAGCUGGAAGCUCAGCAACGGCCAUGCUGUGAUGCCUGGCAACGGCGAACACUCUGGACAAUCGUCGGUGUCCUCGGAAGCCAAGGAUUCAUUCUCAGACUUGCUGGACAACGGCAGGAGAGUGCAUUGUUUCCAGGAGUACAACUUUAAGAAGCCGACAUUUUGUGAUAAUUGCAGAGGACUCCUGAAAGGAAUACUGAAGCAAGGUCUCCGAUGCAAGUUGUGCAAAGCCAACGUGCACCACAGGUGCCAAGACGGCAUACCUGCAUGCAAAGGAGGCAUGGAGAAACCCAACAGAGUGUUUCGCCGGCAAGCAAGCGUUCGUGACAUCAAACCACUAGUUGACAAGAAAAAGCUCUUACGUCGCCAGAAAAGUUCUUCCGAGCUGGAGAUUCCCAGACAGUAUGACUCCAAUGUGGAUCCAGUCUAUGAAGCUAUCAAGUGCGCUGCUAGUCUCUCCAAUGCCAGUAGUAGCUCCUACAUCGAUACGUCUCCCCGUCCCAGCCUGGUAUCCAACACCUCGGCGACCACAGCUCACCAGUCGGGUUCCUCUCUCAGCGGCUCUCAUUCCAGUGGAAGCACCAACUCCCUGUUUCCAGAAAGUCGGGAUCUAGACAAGUCUAAAUCGGCUCCACACAGUCCGAGUUCAACAUCCACUAGACGUAAGAUACUGGAGACGUACGGCAAGAGCAUGUCCUUGGACACAGAACCUUUCAUCAAGUCCAAGCUCCAAUGAUCAAGACUUUGUGGCUUUGUAUAACUUUGAAGGCAUGAUGAGAGACGACUUGUCUCUGAGAGCCGGCGAUCGUGUCCAUGUGAUUGAUAAAAGAAGUACAGAGUGGUGGAA
RNAcentral lists this unclassified non-coding RNA (2306 nucleotides) under Acanthaster planci (crown-of-thorns starfish). RNAcentral's name for it is "uncharacterized LOC110981176, transcript variant X3". The record is from RNAcentral. Lineage: Eukaryota; Metazoa; Echinodermata; Asteroidea; Valvatida; Acanthasteridae.